AUGGAGACGAUGGUGGCGAACGGCGGUGGGGAGGGCCGGGCGGCGGCGAGGUACGGGGACAGGGAGCAGCAGGGCGCGGGGUGCGGAGGCGCGCGCCGCUUCCAGAUGCCGCUGCACUACCCGAGGUACACCAGGGCCAACUACGAGGCCAUGCCCGAGUGGCAGCUCGACCGCCUCCUCUCCGACUACGGCCUCCCCGUCCACGGCAGCGUCCAGCAGAAGCGCAGCUUCGCCAUGGGGGCCUUCCUCUGGGGCGCCGGCAACUGA
This 267-nucleotide ribosomal RNA is filed under the name Triticum aestivum (bread wheat). RNAcentral's name for it is "partial small subunit ribosomal RNA". The record is from RNAcentral. Lineage: Eukaryota; Viridiplantae; Streptophyta; Magnoliopsida; Poales; Poaceae.